Molecule: ribosomal RNA, 445 nt
Filed under: uncultured bacterium
Lineage: Bacteria
Description: bacterial SSU rRNA
Rfam family: Bacterial small subunit ribosomal RNA
Source: RNAcentral
CCAGACUCCUACGGGAGGCAGCAGUAGGGAAUUUUGCGCAAUGGGGGAAACCCUGACGCAGCAACGCCGCGUGAUUGAUGAAGCCCUUCGGGGUGUAAAGAUCUGUCAGUGGGGACGAAACUUGACGGUACCCACAGAGGAAGCAUCGGCUAACUCCGUGCCAGCAGCCGCGGUAAUACGGGGGAUGCAAGCGUUGUCCGGAAUCAUUGGGCGUAAAGAGUUCGUAGGUGGCACGUUAAGUCUGGUGUUAAAUGCAGAGGCUCAACCUCUGUUCGGCACUGGAUACUGGCGAGCUUGAAUGCGGUAGAGGUAAAGGGAAUUCCUGGUGUAGCGGUGAAAUGCGUAGAUAUCAGGAGGAACAUCGGUGGCGUAAGCGCUUUACUGGGCCGUAAUUGACACUGAGGAACGAAAGCCAGGGUAGCAAAUGGGAUUAGAUACCCGAGUA